This is a transfer RNA of 74 nucleotides. It matches the Rfam family "tRNA". From Rfam's summary of the family: Transfer RNA (tRNA) molecules are approximately 80 nucleotides in length. The record is from Rfam.
GGUCCGGUAGUUCAGUUGGUUAGAAUGCCAGCCUGUCACGCUGGAGGUCGAGGGUUCGAGUCCCUUCCGGAUCG